RNAcentral lists this long non-coding RNA (791 nucleotides) under Struthio camelus australis. Its description in RNAcentral is "lncRNA (ENSSCUG00000007086.1)". The record is from RNAcentral. Lineage: Eukaryota; Metazoa; Chordata; Aves; Struthioniformes; Struthionidae.
AAGGAGAAAUUGGUGGUGAAUGCAGUCAGUCAUUUCCCUGAUGCAGCCCAGUGUGUCUACAGAGAACAAAGUCCUGCUUUCCAGCUCAGACGAAAUGAGAUUCUGGGUGACCUGUGUUUUGGGCUAUGGCUUCAUUCCCCUUGUUCCAGAUAGAAGCAUAACUGCUGCUACACUUAUGCAGACUCCACCCACGAUUUGUACAAGUGCAGCUGCAAGAGCAGCCCGGUUACGUACUUCACUACGGUGCAGCCAAGCAGGAGGUGUAAUGAUGUUUCACCAGAAGCCAGUGUAUAUGCCAGCAGAAAUGAGCAAGAGGACCCUGAGGCGUGCCCAUAGUACAGCUCAAAAGCAGCUUAUGCGAUGGCCUCGUAAUAUUACAGGCACCCUUUGCCAGAUGAAGGCUGCAGUUGCACUGACAUAUACUGCAGAUGGAAAAUAAACAUCUGCCUCAAUCAAGAGAGAAGACCAAAGACAAGGUUGACGAAUAUUAUCUGGCAUGACUAUCUUUGCAGGAAAGCAUAUAAAUGCUACAGGACCAAAACCACUGGCAUCGUCUGGUGUUGUCCUUAUGUGGUUACUGACCAUGAAGAGAGAUGAUUAGUAUGCACUCUCCAAGGAGGAGUAGUGCAGAUGCUCAGAAUGAUAUGAUUCCAACUCACUAGUAUGUGUUUUGCUAUAGCCCUACUACGCUAGCAACAGAGCAGUUUGAUAUAUUUUUUUCUCGGUGGUUCAAUGACAUUUUGUAUCCUCAAAUGUUCUUUUGUCUUUUCGGGGGGGAAGAAGAGGAGGCU